UGAGCCUUUAAAUCAGUCCCGUGAGGCUGAGAAGGAAACGGAUAAAAACAAUGGUGAUUAAAUAGCCAUUCGUUUAUGAAUAUUCCUUUUCUGCCUCUCGCUACGGUGAGAGGUUUUUAUUUUU
Molecule: regulatory RNA element, 124 nt
Rfam family: PyrR binding site
About the family: This family represents the PyrR binding site and terminator structure. This RNA structure is found upstream of a variety of genes involved in pyrimidine biosynthesis and transport.
Source: Rfam